RNAcentral lists this ribosomal RNA (1345 nucleotides) under uncultured bacterium. RNAcentral describes it as "bacterial SSU rRNA". It matches the Rfam family "Bacterial small subunit ribosomal RNA", at positions 28 to 1381 of the family's 1533-position model. The record is from RNAcentral.
GACGAACGCUGGCGGCGUGCUUAACACAUGCAAGUCGAACGGAAAGGCCCUGCUUUUGUGGGGUGCUCGAGUGGCGAACGGGUGAGCAACACGUGAGUAACCUGCCCUUGACUUUGGGAUAACUUCAGGAAACUGGGGCUAAUACCGGAUAGGAGCUCCUGCUGCAUGGUGGGGGUUGGAAAGUUUCGGCGGUUGGGGAUGGACUCGCGGCUUAUCAGCUUGUUGGUGGGGUAGUGGCUUACCAAGGCUUUGACGGGUAGCCGGCCUGAGAGGGUGACCGGCCACAUUGGGACUGAGAUACGGCCCAGACUCCUACGGGAGGCAGCAGUGGGGAAUAUUGCACAAUGGGCGGAAGCCUGAUGCAGCACGCCGCGUGCGGGAUGACGGCCUUCGGGUUGUAAACCGCUUUCGCCUGUGACGAAGCGUGAGUGACGGUAAUGGGUAAAGAAGCACCGGCUAACUACGUGCCAGCAGCCGCGGUGAUACGUAGGGUGCGAGCGUUGUCCGGAUUUAUUGGGCGUAAAGGGCUCGUAGGUGGUUGAUCGCGUCGGAAGUGUAAUCUUGGGGCUUAACCCUGAGCGUGCUUUCGAUACGGGUUGACUUGAGGAAGGUAGGGGAGAAUGGAAUUCCUGGUGGAGCGGUGGAAUGCGCAGAUAUCAGGAGGAACACCAGUGGCGAAGGCGGUUCUCUGGGCCUUUCCUGACGCUGAGGAGCGAAAGCGUGGGGAGCGAACAGGCUUAGAUACCCUGGUAGUCCACGCUGUAAACGGUGGGUACUAGGUGUGGGGUCCACUCCACGGGUUCCGUGCCGUAGCUAACGCUUUAAGUACCCCGCCUGGGGAGUACGGCCGCAAGGCUAAAACUCAAAGGAAUUGACGGGGCCCCGCACAAGCGGCGGAGCAUGCGGAUUAAUUCGAUGCAACGCGUAGAACCUUACCUGGGUUUGACAUGGAUCGGGAGCGCUCAGAGAUGGGUGUGCCUCUUUUGGGGUCGGUUCACAGGUGGUGCAUGGCUGUCGUCAGCUCGUGUCGUGAGAUGUUGGGUUAAGUCCCGCAACGAGCGCAACCCUUGUUCACUGUUGCCAGCACGUUAUGGUGGGGACUCAGUGGAGACCGCCGGGGUCAACUCGGAGGAAGGUGGGGAUGACGUCAAGUCAUCAUGCCCCUUAUGUCCAGGGCUUCACGCAUGCUACAAUGGCUGGUACAGAGAGUGGCGAGCCUGUGAGGGUGAGCGAAUCUCGGAAAGCCGGUCUCAGUUCGGAUUGGGGUCUGCAACUCGACCUCAUGAAGUCGGAGUCGCUAGUAAUCGCAGAUCAGCAACGCUGCGGUGAAUACGUUCCCGGGGCU